Molecule: ribosomal RNA, 824 nt
Filed under: Salmonella enterica subsp. enterica serovar Anatum
Lineage: Bacteria; Pseudomonadati; Pseudomonadota; Gammaproteobacteria; Enterobacterales; Enterobacteriaceae
Description: bacterial SSU rRNA
Rfam family: Bacterial small subunit ribosomal RNA
Source: RNAcentral
GAGUGAGGGAGAGGCAGAUGGAAUUGGUGGUGUAGGGGUAAAAUCCGUAGAUAUCACCAAGAAUACCCAUUGCGAAGGCGAUCUGCUGGAACUCAACUGACGCUAAGGCGCGAAAGCGUGGGGAGCAAACAGGAUUAGAUACCCUGGUAGUCCACGCCCUAAACGAUGUACACUAGUUGUUGGGGUGCUAGUCAUCUCAGUAAUGCAGCUAACGCAUUAAGUGUACCGCCUGGGGAGUACGGUCGCAAGAUUAAAACUCAAAGGAAUAGACGGGGACCCGCACAAGCGGUGGAGCAUGUGGUUUAAUUCGAAGAUACGCGAAGAACCUUACCUGGGCUUGAUAUCCUAAGAACCUUUUAGAGAUAAGAGGGUGCUAGCUUGCUAGAACUUAGAGACAGGUGCUGCACGGCUGUCGUCAGCUCGUGUCGUGAGAUGUUGGGUUAAGUCCCGCAACGAGCGCAACCCACGUAUUUAGUUGCUAACGGUUCGGCCGAGCACUCUAAAUAGACUGCCUUCGUAAGGAGGAGGAAGGUGUGGACGACGUCAAGUCAUCAUGGCCCUUAUGCCCAGGGCGACACACGUGCUACAAUGGCAUAUACAAUGAGACGCAAUACCGCGAGGUGGAGCAAAUCUAUAAAAUAUGUCCCAGUUCGGAUUGUUCUCUGCAACUCGAGAGCAUGAAGCCGGAAUCGCUAGUAAUCGUAGAUCAGCCAUGCUACGGUGAAUACGUUCCCGGGUCUUGUACUCACCGCCCGUCACACCAUGGGAGUUGAUUUCACUCGAAGCCGGAAUACUAAACUAGUUACCGUCCACAGUGGAAUCAG